Haliotis rufescens (red abalone) is the source of this 388-nucleotide long non-coding RNA. RefSeq lists it as uncharacterized. The record is from RefSeq and is a predicted model, not a curated record. The transcript is spliced from 3 exons. Lineage: Eukaryota; Metazoa; Mollusca; Gastropoda; Lepetellida; Haliotidae.
GUGUUAUGAGGAUGUCGUAUUUUACAUGUCGUCCGCAGAGCUGAAGAUGCAAGUGGGAAAAAAUAGUCCUGAACAUGUAACAAGAGUCUACAAGCCGAUUCAUAUGAUGAUCCUAACUAAAGAAAAGUAUCUGUUCUGGUCACAGAAGAGCCAUUCAGGCGAUCCCGUGCUAUACAAACUGGAAUAUGGAAACACAAAGAACAAGCCCCCUACCACGAUCGUGAAAACUGACAGAUAUGUUUCACACAUUAAGUACAUCUAUCCCAGAGGCCACCAUGCAUAUCUGUGCGAUCCCUCGCCGAAACUGAAGAUUUUGAAAAGAACGCAAGUCGUAUGUUACUCAUUGAAAGACUUCAAAGAGCCAUGCGUUGAUAUUGAAAAAUUCGAA